CGACGGGUAGCCGGCCUGAGAGGGCGACCGGCCACACUGGGACUGAGACACGGCCCAGACUCCUUCGGGAGGCAGCAGUGGGGAAUAUUGCGCAAUGGGCGGAAGCCUGACGCAGCGACGCCGCGUGAGGGAUGAAGGCCUUCGGGUUGUAAACCUCUUUCAGCAGGGAAGAAGCGAAAGUGACGGUACCUGCAGAAGAAGCACCGGCUAACUACGUGCCAGCAGCCGCGGUAAUACGUAGGGUGCAAGCGUUGUCCGGAAUUAUUGGGCGUAAAGAGCUCGUAGGCGGUCUGUCGCGUCUGCUGUGAAAACUCGGGGCUUAACUCCGGGCCUGCAGUGGGUACGGGCAGACUAGAGUGCGGUAGGGGAGACUGGAAUUCCUGGUGUAGCGGUGAAAUGCGCAGAUAUCAGGAGGAACACCGGUGGCGAAGGCGGGUCUCUGGGCCGUAACUGACGCUGAGGAGCGAAAGCGUGGGGAGCGAACAGGAUUAGAUACCCUGGUAGUCCACGCCGUAAACGUUGGGCGCUAGGUGUGGGGCUCUUUCCACGAGUUCCGUGCCGCAGCAAACGCAUUAAGCGCCCCGCCUGGGGAGUACGGCCGCAAGGCUAAAACUCAAAGGAAUUGACGGGGGCCCGCACAAGCGGCGGAGCAUGCGGAUUAAUUCGAUGCAACGCGAAGAACCUUACCAAGGCUUGACAUGGGCGGUAAUCCGGCAGAGAUGUCGGGUCCGUAAGGGCCGUUCACAGGUGGUGCAUGGUUGUCGUCAGCUCGUGUCGUGAGAUGUUGGGUUAAGUCCCGCAACGAGCGCAACCCUCGUUCCAUGUUGCCAGCACGUUAUGGUGGGGACUCAUGGGAGACUGCCGGGGUCAACUCGGAGGAAGGUGGGGAUGACGUCAAAUCAUCAUGCCCCUUAUGUCUUGGGCUUCACGCAUGCUACAAUGGCCAGUACAAAGGGCUGCGAGACCGUAAGGUGGAGCGAAUCCCAAAAAGCUGGUCUCAGUUCGGAUCGGGGUCUGCAACUCGACCCCGUGAAGUCGGAGUCGCUAGUAAUCGCAGAUCAGCAACGCUGCGGUGAAUACGUUCCCGGGCCUUGUACACACCGCCCGUCACGUCACGAAAGUCGGUAACACCCGAAGCCGGUGGCCUAACCCGUGAGGGAGGGAACUGUCGAAGGUGGGACUGGCGAUUGGGACGAAGUCGUAACAAGGUAGCCGUACCGGAGGGUGCGGCUG
Molecule: ribosomal RNA, 1233 nt
Filed under: metagenome
Description: bacterial SSU rRNA
Rfam family: Bacterial small subunit ribosomal RNA
Source: RNAcentral